Molecule: ribosomal RNA, 497 nt
Filed under: uncultured bacterium
Lineage: Bacteria
Description: partial 16S ribosomal RNA
Rfam family: Bacterial small subunit ribosomal RNA
Source: RNAcentral
GAUGAACGCUGGCGGCGUGCCUAAUACAUGCGAGUCGAGCGAACAGACGAGGAGCUUGCUCCUCUGACGUUAGCGGCGGACGGGUGAGUAACACGUGGAUAACCUACCUAUAAGACUGGGAUAACUUCGGGAAACCGGAGCUAAUACCGGAUAAUAUAUUGAACCGCAUGGUUCAAUAGUGAAAGACGGUUUUGCUGUCACUUAUAGAUGGAUCCGCGCCGCAUUAGCUAGUUGGUAAGGUAACGGCUUACCAAGGCGACGAUGCGUAGCCGACCUGAGAGGGUGAUCGGCCACACUGGAAGUGGAACACGGUCCAGACUCCUACGGGAGGCAGCAGUAGGGAAUCUUCCGCAAUGGGCGAAAGCCUGACGGAGCAACGCCGCGUGAGUGAUGAAGGUCUUCGGAUCGUAAAACUCUGUUAUUAGGGAAGAACAAAUGUGUAAGUAACUAUGCACGUCUUGACGGUACCUAAUCAGAAAGCCACGGCUAACUACGUG